This is a long non-coding RNA of Podarcis raffonei (Aeolian wall lizard), 1575 nucleotides long. RefSeq lists it as uncharacterized. Lineage: Eukaryota; Metazoa; Chordata; Lepidosauria; Squamata; Lacertidae. The record is from RefSeq and is a predicted model, not a curated record. The transcript is spliced from 2 exons.
UUAAAUACUAAGGGAAGGAGAGUGCCAGCAGCCAGUUGUGAAUUUCUCCUCAUAAACACAAUUUUGUAUGCAUAAUUUUGACUAACAUCCAUACCUUUGGAAGCAGUUUUCCCCAAUGCAUUUAUGUAUGUUAUUGUUAACCGAUACUCAUUUCUAUGCACACUUUCUCCUAACAUAUGCAUUUUUGUAAAUAUUGUGCAGUUGGAAAACUGCACUGCAAAAUUCAUAGAAUUGCUAAUUUUGAAGGAUGGCUGUGUUUCAAUUCUCCUAUUGUUCCAGAAAGUGCAAUUUAGGUAUGUUCCCCUUUAAAUGUGAACUGAAUCUAAUUUCUUCCCCAACUCUAAUGAAGUCUGGAACCCUAGGGAAAAAAGUCAUUGGACUGGAUUACUUCAAGCCCAUUAAGAAUGUAGCAGUUACUCAUGUGAAGCAGGUAUCAUAUGCCUGCAUUGACACAUUUCUUUACACUAGACACCCAUUCAGCCACAUAUUGUUGGUUAUGCUGUAAAAGAAUUAUCAAUCCACCAGUGGAGUCCAAUCAUGUGACUGUUUACUGAGAAGUAUGACCCAGCAGGCUCCUCUUAUGUUCUUAUGCUAAGCAGGAUUGUCUUGAAUGCCACCCCAGACUCCUAUUCAGAUGGGUUUGUUGAGGCAUGCCAACACUCCCAAUUCUCCAUAUGGUGGCUGGUUCACAUGAAGCCUUAUUUGUGACUGCACAACACAAACUUAAAGCAUCGCCAUAUGUCUCAGGCAUUGCCCUGUUUUGACUGGGCUGAAAAAAGUGCAGCUAACUCUGGAAUUGGUUUUAGUUUUAAAUGCUGCUUUUUCUCCUUGGCAACAUAUACUCAUGGGCUCUCUGUAGCAGAACACAUCCAUAAUCGCCUCAUUCCUUUUACAGUGGUACCUCGGGUUAAGAACUUAAUUUGUUCUGCAGGUCAGUUCUUAACCUGAAACUGUUCUUAACCUGAGGUACCACUUUAGCUAAUGGGGCCUCCCACUGCCACUGCGCCACCGCCACGUGAUUUCUGUUCUCAUCCUGAACCAACGUUCUUAACCCGAGGUACUAUUUCUGGGUUAGUGGAGUCUGUAACCUGAAGCGACUGUAACCUGAAGCAUCUGUAACCCGAGGUACCACUGUACAGACUUAAUCUGCAAUGAAUAAAUUGUGCAUCGGGGCCCUUAGGUGAAUGUCGCCAAGGAAAUUAGAACAUGGAAAUCAUGCAUUUGUCUCUUUAAACGCAUUUCUACUAGUAUUAAUUUUUAAGACUUUGCUGGGAAUCUCCAAACAUAAAAUCCACUGCUGGCAAUGGAUGUCUUGAUGGUCAUUAAUCGUCCUGAGAAUGACUAGGAAGCUAGUCUUUGUUGCCUGCACAGGCAUGGAAGGUUAAAUUGAUGUGCACUUGUUCUUUUCCUUUUUCUCUUGGAAAGUAUGUAAGUUGUGGGAGAAUUGCUCUUUGAGGCUGUUAUUUUAAUCUCUGGAUUUUAAAUAGAAAUAUAAUAUUUUAUAAAUCAUGUAUUUACAUAUUAUGCUGUUCUUGAAACAUCUGAAAUUGAAAUAUUAAAUGAGAUUUGAUGGAA